AGCAGCCGCGGUAAUUCCAGCUCCAAUAGCGUAUAUUAAAGUUGUUGCAGUUAAAAAGCUCGUAGUUGAAUUUCGGGGUCAGUAGUCUGGUCGGGCCACCGGUACGUACUGGACUCACUGAUUCCUCCUUCCUGAUGAGCUGUAAUGCCAUUAAUUUGGUGUUGCAGGGAAUCUGGACUGUUACUUUGAAAAAAUUAGAGUGUUUAAAGCAGGCUAACGCUUGAAUACAUUAGCAUGGAAUAAUGAAAUAGGACGUUCGAUCCUAUUUUGUUGGUUUCUAGGAUUGACGUAAUGAUUAAUAGGGAUAGUUGGGGGCAUUAGUAUUCAAUUGUCAGAGGUGAAAUUCUUGGAUUUAUUGAAGACUAACUACUGCGAAAGCAUUUGCCAAGGAUGUUUUCAUUAAUCAAGAACGAAAGUUAGGGGAUCGAAGACGAUCAGAUACCGUCGUAGUCUUAACCAUAAACUAUGCCGACUAGGGAUCGGA
This 484-nucleotide ribosomal RNA is filed under the name uncultured Glomus. RNAcentral's name for it is "SSU rRNA". It matches the Rfam family "Eukaryotic small subunit ribosomal RNA", at positions 569 to 1057 of the family's 1831-position model. Lineage: Eukaryota; Fungi; Glomeromycota; Glomeromycetes; Glomerales; Glomeraceae. The record is from RNAcentral.